RNAcentral lists this ribosomal RNA (497 nucleotides) under uncultured bacterium. RNAcentral describes it as "partial 16S ribosomal RNA". It matches the Rfam family "Bacterial small subunit ribosomal RNA", at positions 28 to 507 of the family's 1533-position model. The record is from RNAcentral.
GAUGAACGCUGGCGGCGUGCCUAAUACAUGCAAGUCGAGCGAACGGACGAGAAUCUUGCUUCUCUGAUGUUAGCGGCGGACGGGUGAGUAACACGUGGAUAACCUACCUAUAAGACUGGGAUAACGUCGGGAAACCGGAGCUAAUACCGGAUGAUAUUUUGAACCGCAUGGUUCAAAAGUGAAAGACGUUCUUGCUGUCACUUAUAGAUGGAUCCGCGCUGCAUUAGCUAGUUGGUAAGGUAACGGCUUACCAAGGCAACGAUGCAUAGCCGACCUGAGAGGGUGAUCGGCCACACUGGAACUGAGACACGGUCCAGACUCCUACGGGAGGCAGCAGUAGGGAAUCUUCCGCAAUGGGCGAAAGCCUGACGGAGCAACGCCGCGUGAGUGAUGAAGGUCUUCGGAUCGUAAAACUCUGUUAUUAGGGAAGAACAUAUGUGUAAGUAACUGUGCACAUCUUGACGGUACCUAAUCAGAAAGCCACGGCUAACUACGUG